This 92-nucleotide small RNA is filed under the name Thiorhodovibrio frisius. Its description in RNAcentral is "Thiorhodovibrio sp. 970 t44 RNA". It matches the Rfam family "t44 RNA". Rfam says of the family: This family consists of a number of bacterial RNA genes of between 135 and 170 bases in length. The record is from Rfam by way of RNAcentral. Lineage: Bacteria; Pseudomonadati; Pseudomonadota; Gammaproteobacteria; Chromatiales; Chromatiaceae.
GAGCAAAACAUCCAACGCCACACGCGUUCCGACACAUGACACUGGGUGCCUCUUAAAGGGAGGUUGUGUGAUGGGGGUCGCGGAGGUUCAAC